CCUACGGGAGGCAGCAGUGAGGACUAUUGGUCAAUGGACGGAAGUCUGAACCAGCCAUGCCGCGUGCAGGAAGACGGCUCUAUGAGUUGUAAACUGCUUUUGUACAAGGGUAAACCUGAAUACGUGUAUUCAGCUGAAAGUACUGUACGAAUAAGGAUCGGCUAACUCCGUGCCAGCAGCCGCGGUAAUACGGAGGAUCCAAGCGUUAUCCGGAUUUAUUGGGUUUAAAGGGUGCGUAGGCGGAUUGAUAAGUUAGAGGUGAAAUGUCCGAGCUUACCUCGGGAACUGCCUCUAAUACUGGUGAUCUAGAGAGUAGAUGCGGUAGGCGGAAUGUAUGGUGUAGCUGUGAAAUGCUUAGAGAUCAUACAGAACACCGAUUGCGAAGGCAGCUUACCAAUCUAUAUCUGACGUUGAGGCACGAAAGCGUGGGGAGCAAACAGGAUUAGAUACCCCAGUAGUC
Molecule: ribosomal RNA, 460 nt
Filed under: uncultured bacterium
Lineage: Bacteria
Description: partial 16S ribosomal RNA
Rfam family: Bacterial small subunit ribosomal RNA
Source: RNAcentral